RNAcentral lists this transfer RNA (87 nucleotides) under Dehalococcoidia bacterium. Its description in RNAcentral is "tRNA-Ser". It matches the Rfam family "tRNA". From Rfam's summary of the family: Transfer RNA (tRNA) molecules are approximately 80 nucleotides in length. Their secondary structure includes four short double-helical elements and three loops (D, anti-codon, and T loops). Lineage: Bacteria; Bacillati; Chloroflexota; Dehalococcoidia. The record is from RNAcentral.
GGAGGGAUGUCCGAGUGGUUGAUGGUGACUGUCUUGAAAACAGUUGAGCGAAUAGCUCCGGGGGUUCGAAUCCCUCUCCCUCCGCCA